UUCACAAAUACUGGUGUGUGUGUGUGUGGGGGGACACGUCUAUAUCUCUGUGUGUACGUCUAUCUGUGUGUGUCUCUGUGUUAAAUAGUGCAACAGGUGCAGGCUAGAUAGGACUAUUAGUCUAAUGUAGGACGCUCCACUGUACUCCGGUCAGAAGUGCUGUCUGUCUCUCUGAGCCCAGUCAGUCAGUAUAGUGCUGUGUAGCUCCAGGUACAACCUGGACCUUGUCUGAGCCAGAACGGCCCAUAGUGGUCAGUACUACCUAGGACUGUAGUGAACUAUCAUUCUUAUUAGAGGUUAAAACUCCUCUCUAUUAGCAUGGUGUUGUAGACUGAUGGUUAAAUGACAGGUGUAACACCUAGCUAGGUUUAGCAUGGUGUUAUAGACUGAUGGUUAAAUGACAGGUGUAACACCUAGCUAGGUUUAGCAUGGUGUUAUAGACUGAUGGUUAAAUGACAGGUGUAACACCUAGCUAGGUUUAGCAUGGUGUUAUAGACUGAUGGUUAAAUGGCAGGUGUAACACCUAGCUAGGUUUAGCAUGGUGUUGUAGACUGAUGGUUUAAUGACAGGUGGAACACCUAGCUAGGUUUAGCAUGGUGUUAUAGACUGAUGGUUAAAUGAGAUGGAACACCUAGCUAGGUUUAGCAUGGUGUUAUAGACUGAUGGUUAAAUGAGAUGGAACACCUAGCUAGGUUUAGCAUGGUGUUAUAGACUGAUGGUUAAAUGACAGGUGGAACACCUAGCUAGGUUUAGCAUGGUGUUAUAGACUGAUGGUUAAAUGACAGGUGGAACACCUAGCUAGGUUUAGCAUGGUGUUAUAGACUGAUGGUUAAAUGACAGGUGGAACACCUAGCUAGGUUUAGCAUGGUGUUGUAGACUGAUGGUUAAAUGACAGGUGGAACACCUAGCUAGGUUUAGCAUGGUGUUAUAGACUGAUGGUUAAAUGACAGGUGUAACACCUAGCUAGGUUUAGCAUGGUGUUAUAGACUGAUGGUUAAAUGGCAGGUGUAACACCUAGCUAGGUUUAGCAUGGUGUUGUAGACUGAUGGUUUAAUGACAGGUGGAACACCUAGCUAGGUUUAGCAUGGUGUUAUAGACUGAUGGUUAAAUGAGAUGGAACACCUAGCUAGGUUUAGCAUGGUGUUAUAGACUGAUGGUUAAAUGACAGGUGGAACACCUAGCUAGGUUUAGCAUGGUGUUAUAGACUGAUGGUUAAAUGACAGGUGGAACACCUAGCUAGGUUUAGCAUGGUGUUGUAGACUGAUGGUUAAAUGACAGGUGGAACACCUAGCUAGGUUUAUCCUGGUGUUAUAGACUGAUGGUUAAAUGACAGGUGUAACACCUAGCUAGGUUUAGCAUGGUGUUAUAGACUGAUGGUUAAAUGAGAUGGAACACCUAGCUAGGUUUAGCAUGGUGUUAUAGACUGAUGGUUAAAUGACAGGUGGAACACCUAGCUAGGUUUAGCAUGGUGUUGUAGACUGAUGGUUAAAUGACAGGUGGAACACCUAGCUAGGUUUAGCAUGGUGUUAUAGACUGAUGGUUAAAUGACAGGUGUAACACCUAGCUAGGUUUAGCAUGGUGUUAUAGACUGAUGGUUAAAUGGCAGGUGUAACACCUAGCUAGGUUUAGCAUGGUGUUGUAGACUGAUGGUUUAAUGACAGGUGGAACACCUAGCUAGGUUUAGCAUGGUGUUAUAGACUGAUGGUUAAAUGAGAUGGAACACCUAGCUAGGUUUAGCAUGGUGUUAUAGACUGAUGGUUAAAUGACAGGUGGAACACCUAGCUAGGUUUAGCAUGGUGUUAUAGACUGAUGGUUAAAUGACAGGUGGAACACCUAGCUAGGUUUAGCAUGGUGUUGUAGACUGAUGGUUAAAUGACAGGUGGAACACCUAGCUAGGUUUAUCCUGGUGUUAUAGACUGAUGGUUAAAUGACAGGUGUAACACCUAGCUAGGUUUAGCAUGGUGUUAUAGACUGAUGGUUAAAUGAGAUGGAACACCUAGCUAGGUUUAGCAUGGUGUUAUAGACUGAUGGUUAAAUGACAGGUGGAACACCUAGCUAGGUUUAGCAUGGUGUUAUAGACUGAUGGUUAAAUGAGAUGGAACACCUAGCUAGGUUUAGCAUGAUGUUAUAGACUGAUGGUUAAAUGACAGGUGGAACACCUAGCUAGGUUUAGCAUGGUGUUAUAGACUGAUGGUUAAAUGACAGGUGUAACACCUAGCUAGGUUUAGCAUGGUGUUGUAGACUGAUGGUUAAAUGACAGGUGGAACACCUAGCUAGGUUUAGCAUGGGGUUGUAGACUGAUGGUUAAAUGACAGGUGGAACACCUAGCUAGGUUUAGCAUGGUGUUAUAGACUGAUGGUUAAAUGACAGGUGUAACACCUAGCUAGGUUUAGCAUGGUGUUGUAGACUGAUGGUUAAAUGACAGGUGGAACACCUAGCUAGGUUUAGCAUGGUGUUAUAGUUUUAAUAGCACUGUAUUAGGUUCUGUAUGGUGUUGGUGUGAUAUUAGUAGGGCAUACAGGAGCUGCAAGGUAUCAGGUCACGUCCUCGCAGGAUUACCACUGCUCUGAGACCUGUUCUCAGCUUAACACAGUUUCCAUGGCCACGUCAUCCCCCACUUUAGACUGCGGCCCCCUGGAAAAUAGAGAUUCCUGAAGUAGGGCUUUGAUGUGGGAGUGAGUAUUUGAUUUGGUUAUUAGAAUUUUAUAUUGGUGGAGUUGAAUAAAGUUGUUCUAAUCUAAUGUUGUCAAGUAAAUGAUUUUGAAUGUCUGGGGUGAAGUCAUAGACUAGAAUGUCUGGGAGAGACCUGUGAUGUCACAAGUAGACUAUAAUCUCUUGAAGACCUCACCUCUGUGAUGUCAUAAAGAUUAAAUCAUGUCUGGAGAAUACUUUUUCUGUGAUUUUUAUAAAGAGUAGAAUCUCUGGGAAAGACCUCUGUGAUGUCAUGAAGACACUAGAAUAUCUUGGAGACCUGCAAUGUUAUAAAUAGAAUCGCUGAUGUCAUGAGAGAGUAGAAUAUCUGUGGAAGACCUGUGAUGUCAUAAGUAGACUAGAAUGUCUGGAGAGGAACUUGGUGAUGUCAUAAAGAGAAUAGAAUGUCUGAGGGAAGACCUCUGUGAUGUCACAGACAAAUACAGUACUAGUAGAAUGUCUGGUGAAUGUUGUCAGGAUGCCAAAAAGAAUGGAGUAGCCUAGUGGGGAGUCCAGUGUUAAGAACCUUUCAGUUUGACUGUUGUGACCCACCUUCAGUACAGUCUUUGUACAAACACCUAGUCCUUAUCAACUAGUCCUUAUCAACUAGCCAGUAAGGACUGUCCGUUGUUCCUCUGCCCGGCGAUUAGUAUUGGCUAUAGUGGCCCAUGGCUGGGCAGAACCAUCCAGUCCCUGCUGACUGGAGUUAGGGGGGUAUGUGAGGGCUAAGCCCCCAGGAUGAGGCAGUCUGGCUGGGGGAACAGGGUUCAGCGCAUGCCCCUAAACCUCACUUGGCAUCAAUCUGGGAGGGGCCGCUGUUAAAUGGUUGUGUGUGCGUCAAAUGAUGCACACAUGGUCUUGUGUGUGCGUCAUUUGUCAGUUUGUCUUUGUGGGAUUGUUGUUGCGGUGUGGCUUUGACUGUGUGUGUUUUGGCGUUGUAUGUGUCUGUUAUAUUUAUGCUGUGUGUGUGUGUGGUAAUAAUACCAGCUGUUUGAUACCCAGUACCCAGGGGGUGUGGCCAGAGCUAGAGCUAAAUUUACUGGUAAUCACAUGAAAGGGCAAUGAGGGGAGCGGGGGUGUGUGUGUCCCACUCAUCUCUCUUGAU
Long non-coding RNA from Salvelinus namaycush (lake trout), 3796 nucleotides. RefSeq lists it as uncharacterized. The transcript has 3 exons. The record is from RefSeq and is a predicted model, not a curated record. NCBI's taxonomy places the organism in Eukaryota, Metazoa, Chordata, Actinopteri, Salmoniformes, Salmonidae.